RNAcentral lists this ribosomal RNA (497 nucleotides) under uncultured bacterium. Its description in RNAcentral is "partial 16S ribosomal RNA". It matches the Rfam family "Bacterial small subunit ribosomal RNA", at positions 28 to 507 of the family's 1533-position model. The record is from RNAcentral.
GAUGAACGCUGGCGGCGUGCCUAAUACAUGCAAGUCGAGCGAACAGACGAGGAGCUUGCUCCUCCGACGUUAGCGGCGGACGGGUGAGUAACACGUGGAUAACCUACCUAUAAGACUGGGAUAACUUCGGGAAACCGGAGCUAAUACCGGAUAAUAUAUUGAACCGCAUGGUUCAAUAGUGAAAGACGGUUUUGCUGUCACUUAUAGAUGGAUCCGCGCCGCAUUAGCUAGUUGGUAAGGUAACGGCUUACCAAGGCGACGAUGCGUAGCCGACCUGAGAGGGUGAUCGGCCACACUGGAACUGAGACACGGUCCAGACUCCUACGGGAGGCAGCAGUAGGGAAUCUUCCGCAAUGGGCGAAAGCCUGACGGAGCAACGCCGCGUGAGUGAUGAAGGUCUUCGGAUCGUAAAACUCUGUUAUUAGGGAAGAACAAAUGUGUAAGUAACUAUGCACGUCUUGUCGGUACCUAAUCAGAAAGCCACGGCUAACUACGUG